GUUCGUUAUUUAGGGCGCAUGGUGGAUGCCUUGGCAUGCUGGGCCGAUGAAGGACGUGUAAGGCUGCGUUAAGCCUCGGGGAGUUGUCAAUAGAGCGUUGAUCCGAGGAUGUCCGAAUGGGGAAACCUGGCACCUGUUAUGGGGUGUUACCCUUCAGUGAAUUCAUAGCUGUUGUGGGGGUUUACGCGGGGAAGUGAAACAUCUCAGUACCCGUAGGAGAAGAAAAUAAAAUAUGAUUCUGCUAGUAGUGGCGAACGAACGUGGAUGAGGCUAAACCGUGUGCAUGUGAUACUUGGUAGGGGUUGUGUGUGCGGUGUUGUGGGCCCCAAUGUGAAUCAGCUACCACUGGUUUGCUUGUGUGUUGUUGUUAGGUGAAGUGGUGUGGAAACGCCCACCGUAGAGGGUGAUAGUCCCGUAGUUGAAGGCUUCAAUGCGUAAGUUGUUGGGUUGCCCGAGUAGCAGCGGGCUCGUGGAAUCUGCUGUGAAUCUGCCGGGACCACCCGGUAAGCCUAAAUACUCAGUGUGACCGAUAGUGUAUGAGUACCGUGAGGGAAUGGUGAAAAGUACCCCGGGAGGGGAGUGAAAUAGUUCCUGAAACCAUGUGCUUACAAUCCGUCAGAGCACCUGUAUGUGUGUGAUGGCGUGCCUUUUGAAGAAUGAGCCUGCGAGUCAGCGGCAUGUCGCGAGGUUAACCCGUGUGGGGUAGCCGUAGGGAAACCGAAUCCUCAUGGGGUGUUUAGUGGCAUGUCCUGGACCCGAAGCGGGGUGAUCUACCCAUGGCCAGUGUGAAGCAGUAGUAAGAUGCUGUGGAGGCGCGAACCCACGUAGGUUGAAAACUGCGGGGAUGAGCUGUGGGUAGGGGUGAAAGGCCAAUCAAACUCCGUGAUAGCUGGUUCUCCCCGAAAUGCAUUUAGGUGCAGCGUCGCAUUAGCUUGGUGGAGGUAGAGCUACUGGUUGGUUGAGCGGGACUACAAUCUUAGCAAUGUCAGCCAAACUCCGAAUGCCACUAAUUGUGUUGUGCGGCAGUGAGACUGUGGGGGAUAAGCUUCAUAGUCGAGAGGGAAACAGCCCAGAUCGCCGGUUAAGGCCCCUAAGGGUGUGCUAAGUGGAAAAGGAUGUGGGAUCGCGAAGACAGCCAGGAGGUUGGCUUAGAAGCAGCCAUCCUUGAAAGAGUGCGUAAUAGCUCACUGGUCGAGUGGUCCUGCGCCGACAAUGUAGUGGGGCUCAAGCACACCGCCGAAGCCGCGGCAAUACUUUUUGUAUUGGGUAGGGGAGCGUCGUGCAUGUGUUGAAGCGUUACCGUAAGGCGGCGUGGAGUGUGUGCGAGUGAGAAUGCAGGCAUGAGUAACGAAUUGGAAGGUGAGAAUCCUUCCCGCCGGAUGACUAAGGGUUCCUGGGUCAAGUUCGUCUUCCCAGGGUGAGUCGGGACCUAAGGCGAGGCCGACAGGCGUAGUCGAUGGAUAACCAGUUGAUAUUCUGGUACCCGUAUAUCCGCGCCCAUGAUAAAGCACUGAUACUAACCACCGCGGAUACGAAUCGUUGUGUUCUUUGAGCACGUUGGUUUGUUGAUGUCGUGGGGCCUGAUGUGUGGUUCAAGUGAUGGGGUGACACAGUGUAGUAGCCAUGCCGCUUAGUGGAUUGUUGGUGUAAGCGUGUGAGGUGGUGUGUAGGCAAAUCCGCACACCGUUUAACCUGAGGCGUGAUGCGUAGCCCAAAUGUGGGUGAAGUUGGUGAUCUAGUACUGUCGAGAAAAGCCUCUAGCGAUGUGGAUGUAUGGCCCGUACCCUAAACCGACACAGGUGGUCAGGUUGAAAAUACUAAGGCGUUCGGGUGAACUGUGGUUAAGGAACUCGGCAAAAUGCCCCCGUAACUUCGGGAGAAGGGGGACCACACGACUUCGGCAUUCUUUGCGUUUGCUUUGGGGUUGUGGGGUCGCAGAGAAUAGAGGGAAGCGACUGUUUAUCAAAAACACAGGUCCAUGCGAAGACGUUAAGUUGAUGUAUAUGGACUGACGCCUGCCCGGUGCUGGAAGGUUAAGAGGACCGGUUAGUAGUCUUUGACUGCGAAGCUGAGAAUUUAAGCCCCAGUAAACGGCGGUGGUAACUAUAACCAUCCUAAGGUAGCGAAAUUCCUUGUCGGGUAAGUUC
Molecule: ribosomal RNA, 2147 nt
Filed under: metagenome
Description: bacterial LSU rRNA
Rfam family: Bacterial large subunit ribosomal RNA
Source: RNAcentral